GACAAGGUGGCCAAGAGGUUAAGGCCAUGAUCUACUAAUCCAUUGUGCUCUGCACGCGUGGGUUCGAUUCCCACUCUCGUCG
Molecule: non-coding RNA, 82 nt
Organism: Hemiscyllium ocellatum (epaulette shark)
Lineage: Eukaryota; Metazoa; Chordata; Chondrichthyes; Orectolobiformes; Hemiscylliidae
Source: the annotation of a RefSeq genome assembly